This 253-nucleotide ribosomal RNA is filed under the name uncultured bacterium. RNAcentral's name for it is "partial 16S ribosomal RNA". It matches the Rfam family "Bacterial small subunit ribosomal RNA", at positions 524 to 776 of the family's 1533-position model. The record is from RNAcentral.
UACGGAGGGUGCGAGCGUUGUUCGGAAUCACUGGGCGUAAAGGGCGUGUAGGCGGUCCGCUAAGUCUGAUGUGAAAGCCCGGGGCUCACCCCCGGAAGGGCAUUGGAAACUGACGGACUCGAGUCCCGAAGAGGAGGGUGGAAUUCCUGGUGUAGCGGUGAAAUGCGUAGAUAUCAGGAGGAACACCGGUGGCGAAGGCGGCCCUCUGGACGGUGACUGACGCUGAGACGCGAAAGCUAGGGUAACAAACGGG